AUUGAACGCUGGCGGCAUGCUUUACACAUGCCAGUCGAACGGCAGCGCGGGCUUCGGCCUGGCGGCGAGUGGCGAACGGGUGAGUAAUACAUCGGAACGUGCCCAGUAGUGGGGGAUAGCUCGGCGAAAGCCGGAUUAAUACCGCAUACGACCUGAGGGUGAAAGCGGGGGAUCUUCGGACCUCGCGCUAUUGGAGCGGCCGAUGGCAGAUUAGCUAGUUGGUGGGGUAAAGGCCUACCAAGGCGACGAUCUGUAGCUGGUCUGAGAGGACAACCAGCCACACUGGGACUGAGACACGGCCCAGACUCCUACGGGAGGCAGCAGUGGGGAAUUUUGGACAAUGGGCGAAAGCCUGAUCCAGCAAUGCCGCGUGUGUGAUGAAGGCCUUCGGGUUGUAAAGCACUUUUGGCGGGAACGAAAAGGACUGUGCCAAUACCACGGUUCGAUGACGGUACCCGCAGAAUAAGCACCGGCUAACUACGUG
Molecule: ribosomal RNA, 484 nt
Filed under: uncultured bacterium
Lineage: Bacteria
Description: partial 16S ribosomal RNA
Rfam family: Bacterial small subunit ribosomal RNA
Source: RNAcentral